Molecule: ribosomal RNA, 310 nt
Filed under: uncultured bacterium
Lineage: Bacteria
Description: bacterial SSU rRNA
Rfam family: Bacterial small subunit ribosomal RNA
Source: RNAcentral
GAUGAACGCUAGCGACAGGCUUAACACAUGCAAGUCGAGGGGCAGCACAGGUAGCAAUACCGGGUGGCGACCGGCGCACGGGUGAGUAACGCGUAUGCAACUUGCCUAUCAGAGGGGGAUAACCCGGCGAAAGUCGGACUAAUACCGCAUGAAGCAGGGGCCCCGCAUGGGGAUAUUUGCUAAAGAUUCAUCGCUGAUAGAUAGGCAUGCGUUCCAUUAGGCAGUUGGCGGGGUAACGGCCCACCAAACCGACGAUGGAUAGGGGUUCUGAGAGGAAGGCCCCCCACACUGGUACUGAGACACGGACCAG